Long non-coding RNA from Chrysemys picta bellii (western painted turtle), 1600 nucleotides. Lineage: Eukaryota; Metazoa; Chordata; Testudines; Emydidae. The record is from Ensembl.
GUGCCCAGCCAGGGACCCCAGCGCUGCGAGCUUCCCCGCAGCAGUGCCCAGCCAGGGACCCCAGCGCUGCGAGCUUCCCCGCAGCAGUGCCCUUUUAGUACCAAGCACCUCAGAAAGGUGCAGACUCUGAUUGGAGUUUAAUGCUUCUAACCAUUUUACUAAGUCGUUAAAGUGCAUGUGUGGAGCAGUCUGAGCCCCCAGCAUCUGCUGAGAGGGGCUGAUACAUUGGUCGCUUCUCCAUGCGACGCUCCUGUGGAGGAUGCUGGGUCCUUUGUUGUGGUGACAUGACUUUGCACCCAUCCAGGCUGCUGUGGCCCUGAAGGAAAUCGAGUGGCAGCAGACUUACCCCAUGGAUUUCUACGCCGGCCAGUCCCUGGGGCCCUGGACAGUCAACCAUGCCAGCCACCAGCCCCAGAGGGGCACCAGCCGGCCAACGCAGAGGAAGCUGCCUGAACCUGUGGUACCAGUGGAUGCUGGUGUGGGGAAGAAAUGCACCGACUGCAGCUGUCAGGACAAGGCCCCAUUGCAGCCAGAGCACCCCUGAACCCCCAAACAAUGGGGAUAUUGGCAGGUACAGCCCUGCAGUUACCGGCCUGGAAACAAGCGCUCCCAGCUUUGCUCUCAGGAAGGGCUGUCUCUGACUUCAGAGCUGGUGAAAUGGGCCAGAUCAACAGCACUAUAGACUGACUGACUGGCACCCAGAGCAGGUACAGAGUAGGCAGUGGCAGGGCCACUCUCUCACGGCCCUGGAGAACCAUCUCUCAGUCUCUCGCCCAUUCAGCCUGAAGUGUUUCCACGGAGGCUGCCUGAAAGAACCAGCUGUAGCAGUGGUUUCUGUGAUAGGGACCAUUCCCUGGCCACUGGACUGAGAUCCCCCAUUAAGGAACAGCUGUGCCGAAACCAUGAUUAAUUUGCAUUGAAAUGUCCCGUGUGUACUACAGAGAGGUGGAAAUGGCCACGCAAAGGCCCUUCAACUGUGCUGGGUUUGGGACAUAGUCUCACUAACAGGAUGUUGAGAAGCACAAAGUUGGGAGCAGUGCCAAGGUUCCGGUUGUGUUCUGCCUGGGGAAGAUGGAUUUUAGGCCAACACACUGCUCUGUUCCCCUCAGUGCCUCAGCCCCAGUGUGUAGACAUCAAGGCUCAGCCUGGGGGCAGCAGUGAACCCUAACUUACACACUGUAGUUACCUUGAUACAUUUGCCAGUUGCAGUGGAGGGACAGAUUCUUUGUCUCUGUGUGUUUCACCGUCCAUGGUUUGCAAAAUCCUCUUUCAAAGUUGGAAAUAGUGUCCUCCAGCCCCAGAGUCCUGUCACAUGUGGGCAGACGUGGACUCUCCUCCCGGGGCCUUGGUUCUACUCACAGAGCAGCCUUCACCUGCUAUCACUAGCUCCUGAUUACAUUGAUCUAAAGGAGAAGAGAAACACGCCCCGUAGCUCUGUCAGAGCCCAUGUUAACUUGCCUCUUCGGGGGGGUUGUCUUUGCUCUGUCACCAGUGGCGUUGCUGGGCGGGGAGAUAAAUGGUGCAGGGGCAAGGGAGAGAGAGGGGCUCCCAGCAGAGAGGGACAGGGCAGGCCCUGUAAAACUAUCCCAGCCUUGGGCUC